Molecule: ribosomal RNA, 269 nt
Filed under: Duganella qianjiadongensis
Lineage: Bacteria; Pseudomonadati; Pseudomonadota; Betaproteobacteria; Burkholderiales; Oxalobacteraceae
Description: partial 23S ribosomal RNA
Rfam family: Bacterial large subunit ribosomal RNA
Source: RNAcentral
CCAGUCACCGAAGCUGCGGAUAUCCGUAAGGAUAUGGUAGGAGAGCGUUCUGUAAGCCUGCGAAGGUGUCUUGUAAAGGAUGCUGGAGGUAUCAGAAGUGCGAAUGCUGACAUGAGUAGCGAUAAUGAGGGUGAAAAGCCCUCACGCCGUAAGCCCAAGGUUUCCUGUUCAACGUUCAUCGGAGCAGGGUGAGUCGGCCCCUAAGGCGAGGCAGAGAUGCGUAGCUGAUGGGAAGCAGGUUAAUAUUCCUGCACCGUCGUAUGAUGCGA